RNAcentral lists this ribosomal RNA (605 nucleotides) under uncultured freshwater bacterium. RNAcentral's name for it is "bacterial SSU rRNA". It matches the Rfam family "Bacterial small subunit ribosomal RNA", at positions 8 to 607 of the family's 1533-position model. The record is from RNAcentral.
AGAGUUUGAUCCUGGCUCAGAUUGAACGCUGGCGGCAUGCCUUACACAUGCAAGUCGAACGGCAGCACGGGUGCUUGCACCUGGUGGCGAGUGGCGAACGGGUGAGUAAUAUAUCGGAACGUACCUUAUCGUGGGGGAUAACGCAGCGAAAGCUGCGCUAAUACCGCAUACGCCCUGAGGGGGAAAGCGGGGGACCGUAAGGCCUCGCGCGAUUAGAGCGGCCGAUAUCUGAUUAGCUUGUUGGUGGGGUAAAAGCCCACCAAGGCGACGAUCAGUAGCUGGUCUAAGAGGACGAUCAGCCACACUGGGACUGAGACACGGCCCAGACUCCUACGGGAGGCAGCAGUGGGGAAUUUUGGACAAUGGGGGCAACCCUGAUCCAGCAAUGCCGCGUGAGUGAAGAAGGCCUUCGGGUUGUAAAGCUCUUUUGUCAGGGAAGAAACAGCAGCUCUAACACAGUCUGCGAAUGACGGUACCUGAAGAAUAAGCACCGGCUAACUACGUGCCAGCAGCCGCGGUAAUACGUAGGGUGCAAGCGUUAAUCGGAAUUACUGGGCGUANAGCGUGCGCAGGCGGUUAUACAAGACAGGCGUGAAAUCCCCGGG